GAGUUUGAUCCUGGCUCAGGAUGAACGCUGGCGGCGUGCCUAACACAUGCAAGUCGAGCGAGAAGUUUAUGGAGUGCGUUUUCGGACAAGUGAAGUAAACGGAAAGCGGCGGACGGGUGAGUAACGCGUAGGCAACCUGCCCCAUACAGAGGGAUAGCCUCGAGAAAUCGGGAUUAAAACCUCAUAAUGCCAUCGAGUCACAUGGCUCUUUGGCCAAAGAUUUAUCGGUAUGGGAUGGGCCUGCGUCUGAUUAGCUAGUUGGUGAGGUAACGGCUCACCAAGGCUGCGAUCAGUAGCAGAACUGAGAGGUUCAUCUGCCACAUUGGAACUGAGACACGGUCCAAACUCCUACGGGAGGCAGCAGUGAGGAAUAUUGCACAAUGGGCGAAAGCCUGAUGCAGCAACGCCGCGUGAGCGAUGAAGGCCUUUGGGUCGUAAAGCUCUGUCCUUGGGGAAGAAACAAAUGACGGUACCCUUGGAGGAAGCCCCGGCUAACUACGUGCCAGCAGCCGCGGUAAUACGUAGGGGGCGAGCGUUAUCCGGAAUUAUUGGGCGUAAAGAGUGCGUAGGUGGUCUUGUAAGCGUGGGGUGAAAGGCAGUGGCUUAACCAUUGUUAGCCUUGCGAACUGUGAGACUUGAGUGCAGGAGAGGAAAGUGGAAUUCCUAGUGUAGCGGUGAAAUGCGUAGAUAUUAGGAGGAACACCAGUGGCGAAGGCGACUUUCUGGACUGUAACUGACACUGAGGCACGAAAGCGUGGGGAGCAAACAGGAUUAGAUACCCUGAUAGUCCACGCCGUAAACGAUGAACACUAGGUGUCGGGGUUUAAAGACUUCGGUGCCGCAGUUAACGCAUUAAGUGUUCCGCCUGGGG
Molecule: ribosomal RNA, 871 nt
Filed under: uncultured bacterium
Lineage: Bacteria
Description: bacterial SSU rRNA
Rfam family: Bacterial small subunit ribosomal RNA
Source: RNAcentral